GAACGCUGGCGGCAUGCCUAACACAUGCAAGUCUAGGGGUAGCAAUACCACUGGCGCACGGGUGAGUAACACGUAGGUUAUCUGCCCCCAUCACAGACAUAACCCCGGGAAACCGGGGCUAAUAUCUGAUGAGGUCGCGAGAUCAAAGCUUCGGCGGAUGGGGAUGAGCCUGCGGCUGAUUAGCUAGUUGGUGAGGUAAUGGCUCACCAAGGCGACGAUCAGUAGCUGGUCUGAGAGGACGAACAGCCACACUGGAACUGAGACACGGUCCAGACUCCUACGGGAGGCAGCAGUGAGGAAUAUUGGUCAAUGGGAGCAAUCCUGAACCAGCAAUGCCGCGUGUGGGAUGACAGGGCUUCGCCUUGUAAACCACUGUCGGACGGGACGAAAGGAGGCCUCGGGCCUCUGGGACGGUACCGUCAAAGGAAGGGUCGGCUAACUACGUG
This 446-nucleotide ribosomal RNA is filed under the name uncultured bacterium. RNAcentral's name for it is "bacterial SSU rRNA". It matches the Rfam family "Bacterial small subunit ribosomal RNA", at positions 31 to 507 of the family's 1533-position model. The record is from RNAcentral.